Molecule: ribosomal RNA, 783 nt
Filed under: Triticum aestivum (bread wheat)
Lineage: Eukaryota; Viridiplantae; Streptophyta; Magnoliopsida; Poales; Poaceae
Description: partial small subunit ribosomal RNA
Source: RNAcentral
AUGUACCUUCGGUGUGCUGUUCAUGACACCCCGACGCACUGGCGCAAGUGGCUUCCCACGGCAGAAUUCUGGUACAAUACUUCACAUCACUCGUCACUCAAUACAUCUCCAUUUCAAGCCCUGUAUGGCAAAGAACCGAACCUGGGCGGCCUGCCAUCGCUUGGGGCGCACCUGCCAGAGGAAGCAGGCAAAGAACUGGAUUGGGUCAAGCACAAUGAUCGACUCCGCGCGCAGCUGGCGCGUGCCCAGAACAGAUGCAAGCAGAAGGCAUACAAGAAUCGCACUGAGCGCUCUUUUGUCGUGGGUGAUCAGGUACUCCUCAAGCUCCAGCCAUAUGUCCAAUCCACGGUGGCUAACCGCCCGUGCCCCAAGCUGGCAUACAAAUUCUUCGGUCCCUUCACCAUCGAGCAACGUGUGGGCACCAUGGCAUACAAACUGGCGCUACCACCGGGCAGCCGCAUCCACCUGGUGUUUCAUGUCUCCCAGCUGAAGCCCUUCACGCCGGACUACACACCUGUCUUCGCCGAGCUGCCGCGCGCUCCUGACCUCUCUGCCGCACCUCUGCAGCCGGUGGCAAUCCUGGAUCGACGCAUGGUCAAGAAGGGGAUUGCAUCCAUCGUACAAGUCCGUGUCCAAUGGUCGUCUCUAUCACCAGACUCCGCUACAUGGGAGGACUACACAGUGCUGCGUCACCGGUACCCGACGGCUCCUUGCUGGGAUGAUGUUGCUUCCGCUCAAGGAGGGGAGCAUGUCACACCUGAUGCUACUACAUCAGUGGACUGA